AAUUCAAUUUUUUCCAGAAAAUUGAAUGUUAAUCUAACUUAUCAGUGAUAAAAUCAUGCGGAACUUGAUUAGAUUUCUUUCACUUUAUGUGUACAAUACCUAAUAGAUAAGACCGUUUAAAUCUCAUACACAUUUCUAGUUUUUGUGCACUUUGUUACUUAUCUUGCAAAAUGGGAGUAAUUGGGAACGACAUUGUAAAUACUUUUUCUAGGUCAGAUCAUUAUUCUUUUGUAUAUCUUUAGGUUAAAAAUUUUUUAACGAUAAAGUAUCCUCACAAAUUAAGGAGGCGUGUUGCGAUAAGGGCAUAUCACAGUGAUGAUCUCCUGAUUAAUGAAUAGAUAAACAUGAAGCUUCUGGAACGUUUGUAACUCAACUCUGUAUUCUUACCGUGUAUUUGUGGAGUAAUGAAUAAAUAAGUCAUUACGAAAUAUAAGUGUAAGUGUCAUUAUUUCACUAUCUUAACUGCCUCUAGACAGUAAAUGUUCGUGUAUGAAACACAUGUGCGGAACUUCAUGAUGUGAUUGUUUAGCAAGUGAGUUGAUAAUGUGCAGCUAUGGGCUAGAGGAAACAACGAAACCAUCGCCUUAAGACGCCAAAUCCGUCACGUUCUUCAGGAGUACCAGAUAGGAAAUGGCUCUGAAUAAUAAUGCUAUCUUGAAUGCACUGGAUGAUGAUCUACCACUAAGUUCUGAAUCAGAUGAAGAUGAACCAGUUGGCCCUCCGAGUCAGUUUCUAAGCGAAUCGUCAUCAGACUCUGAUGAAGAUCCCGUAGACUCUGUCCCCGUACAAGCACCUGCUCUCCCGGUCAUAGCCCUAGCUCCGCCAGUGGUACAAAUUCAAGUCCAGCCAGUGCAAGCUCCACUUCCAACACGACAACGAGGCACAGGUCGAGGUCAAGGUCCACGAAGGUAAACGAUAAUCAACUGCCACCUUCGCUAUUCGCGAAAGUGAUCAGGUAAUGAAGUUAUUCAUUUAUGCGAUAAGUUAAAUUAAAAUCAUUUUGAAAGAUGGGAAGCAACAACCAAAUAUUUGGGUUUUCCAACUUAAGUGUUUCUUGUUGAUGACUUAAGUACUAAAUUCACUUUUAAAGUGCUAUGGUUAUAUUAGAUCAAGAGAAUAGAUUUCUUUUUUUAAACGCCAGGUUUUCCUCCUCUGUAAGCCCAUACUUUGGCCAAAUUCCUCAAUGGACCACUAGACAAGGCACUAAUGUAAGUAUUCUGAUACAU
This 1226-nucleotide long non-coding RNA is filed under the name Bemisia tabaci. RNAcentral's name for it is "lncRNA ENSASIAIIG004086". The record is from RNAcentral. Lineage: Eukaryota; Metazoa; Arthropoda; Insecta; Hemiptera; Aleyrodidae.